This 207-nucleotide ribosomal RNA is filed under the name uncultured delta proteobacterium. Its description in RNAcentral is "partial 16S ribosomal RNA". It matches the Rfam family "Bacterial small subunit ribosomal RNA", at positions 568 to 774 of the family's 1533-position model. Lineage: Bacteria; Deltaproteobacteria. The record is from RNAcentral.
CGUGUAGGCGGUUUUUUAAGUCUGAUGUGAAAGCCCUGGGCUCAACCUGGGAAGUGCAUUGGAUACUGGAAGACUUGAAUACGGGAGAGGGCAGUGGAAUUCCUGGUGUAGGAGUGAAAUCCGUAGAUAUCAGGAGGAACACCGGUGGCGAAGGUGGCUGCCUGGACCGAUAUUGACGCUGAGACGCGAAAGCGUGGGUAGCAAACA